This is a long non-coding RNA of Symphalangus syndactylus (siamang), 1807 nucleotides long. RefSeq lists it as uncharacterized. The record is from RefSeq and is a predicted model, not a curated record. Lineage: Eukaryota; Metazoa; Chordata; Mammalia; Primates; Hylobatidae.
GCAACCGAAGCGGAGACUGGAGGCGGCGCCCGGCGUCCAGGGCGGAACUAGCGCCUAUGGGGCUCGGCGCUGUCAUCUCGGGGGCCUUCCCGGCGCCUUGCCCUACUGGGGAGAGAGACCAAGACUGCGCCAUGAGAACAGUCCAAGGCCGUUAACCGGGAGCCCAGGGGCAAGGGCGCUCGCCAACAUCUGCGCCUGUGGAGGGACUUGCGGACAGCCUGGACGUGGGGACGCGUCCUAGUGACAGAAACAAAGCCCCAGGAGUGCCCUGCUUGGAGCAUUCCGAGUGGAAGCUGGAAGCACGCUAACUGGAGGCGAUUCGUCCUAGAAAAUUUCAGGCCGGGAGCAGUGGCUCACGCCUGUAAUCCCAGCACUUUGGGAGGCCGAGGGGGGCAGAUCAUGAGGUCAGGAGAUCGAGACCAUCUUGGUUAACAUGGUGAAACCCCGUCUCUACAAAAAAUACAAAAAAUUAGCCGGGCGUGGUGGUGGGCGCCUGUAGUCCCAGCUCCUCGGGAGGCUGAGGCAGGAGAAUGGCCGUGAACCCAGGAGGUGCAGCUUGCAGUGAGCCAGGAUCGCGCCACUGCACUCUAGCCUGGGCGACAGAGGGAGACUCCGUCUCAAAAAAAAAAUGUGUAAGUAAAUAAGAACUUUGAUGUUACAUUUCUGUCUACUGUUGCCAUGUCUGUAUCAAUAAUGGAGUCGUCUGAGGAACAACUUUCCCCACAUCAGUGUUUAUAUUAUUCAUUUUUAGGCUUAGUGCUUAAGCUUAGUGAUCGCCUUUUGUAGGAUUGUGUCAUAAGAGCAAAGAAUUACCAUAUAUUGUUACAUUAAAAAUGUUACCUUUGGCCGGGCAUGGUGGCUUAUGCCUGUAAUUCCAGCACUUUGGGAGGCUGAGGCAGGUGAAUCACCUGAGGUCAUGAGUUCAAGGCCAGCCUGGCCAACAUGGCGAAAUGCUGUCUCUACUAAAAAUACAAAAACUAGCCAGGUGGUGGUGGGCACCUGUAAUCCCAGCUACUCAGGAGGCUGAGACAGGAGAAUGGCUUGAGCCCAGGAGGUGGAGGUUGCAGUCAGCCGAGAUGGUGCCACUGCACUCCUCCAGCCUGCCUCUGUCUCAAAAAAAAAAAAAAAAGUUACUUUUACCUUGAUGUCUAAAUAAAGGGGAAGAAAAUCUUUUAAAAGUUAUGGCUGGGCACAAUGCCUCACACCUGUAACCCCAGCACUUUGGGAGGCUGAGUUUGGAAGAUCACUUGAGACCAAGAGGUUGAGGCUGCAGGGAAUGAUGAUCUUGCCACUAUACUCCAGCCUGGAUGACAGAGUGAAACCCUGUCUCAAUUUAAAAAGUUCAUUGGCCAGGUGCGGUCGCUCACGCCUGUAAUCCUAGCACUUUGGGAGGCCGAGGCGGGCGGAUCACGAGGUCAGGAGAUCGAGACCAUCCUGGCUAACACGGUGAAACCCCGUCUCUACUAAAAAAUACAAAAAAUUAGGCCGGGCACGGUGGCUCACGCCUGUAAUCCUAGCACUUUGGGAGGCCGAGGUGGGCGGAUCACUUGAGGUCAGGAGUUCAAAACCAGCUUGGCCAUCAUGGUCAAACCCGGUCUCUACUAAAAAUACAAAAAAAAUUAGUUGGGCAUGGUGGUGUUGCCUGUAAUCCCUGCUACUCGGGAGGCUGAGGCAGGAGAAUAGCUUGAACCCAGGAGGUGGAGGUUGCAGUGAGCCGAGAUUGUGCCACCGCACUCCAGCCUGGGCAACAGAGCGAGACUCCAUCUCAAAAAUAAAAUAAAAUAAAAUAAAAUAAAAUAAAUAAAAA